Non-coding RNA from Punica granatum (pomegranate), 1148 nucleotides. The record is from RefSeq and is a predicted model, not a curated record. NCBI's taxonomy places the organism in Eukaryota, Viridiplantae, Streptophyta, Magnoliopsida, Myrtales, Lythraceae.
GUUAGGGGGGCCUUGAUUCUACUUAAAUGGCAACGGGAGGUUGUUGGGCUGCCCUUAUAUAAGGGAGGUCCAUGGUCACUUUGUAUACAACGGGCGCAUAAGAGCCCUAUGAUCCGGCAUGCACUCCUUGGAAGCUUGGAGUACUGGGCUCACCUGUACCCGGGCUCAUGAUAUCUUUCCCUUGUUUGGUAAUCACCAGGCUGGCGUAUCCUGUCCAGGAGUUCAGAUUUUAUUCCAUUUAUGGCCUGAAAGUUUUGGUAAUGUUAAAGUGGUCCUUAUCUUUUGUAAAUAUGGUAAGUAAACCCCUACUCUCUUCCAUUUAAACCACAUUCCCCCCUGCAACCUCACCUCACCUCGACAACAGCCCUCUCUCUUUCUCUCUAUCUCAGCUCUGCAUAGCUGCUGCUUGACGAGCAUGUUGAUCCGUUUUUGACCAACUAACUGAUCUUUGAUCCCUCCAGACUGUCCAUCUCUUGAUACUUGAUGAUCUUCUCUUUCAUUGGGGUGGGAUGAUUCCUGAUCCGGUCAGGGUGCCUUCAGGGAGGAAGGAUGCUGACCAUGAUGUUCAAUUGAAUUAUUCCGGGCAAAGUAACCGGUCGAUAUGUGUGUCAACGGCAACUGGACCGCCAUCCAGUAUCAUCUCGUGCCGCCACCUUGAUUGAUCUAGCGGUAUUAUGAUAUAUGAGGAGGAACUCGAUAUAAAGACCCUCAUUGAAGCGAUCAUAUUUUGGCCACAUAGGCAGAGGGAAUAAACAUGAACUAGCAUGCUAUAUACGUCGUUGGCCAAAUCCAACAGGGCAGGUUAUUUGACGUGAGAGUUGUAGAACUAUGGGUAGCGGCUACCCUGCUAGUGUAAACUAGUCCUCAUUAUCUAUAUUUUGAGUUUGUAAGACUAUGAUAAUGAUGGAACAAUCCAUUCAUACAUGGGUGACUGAUGGAAGAAAAAGAGAGAAAACAUUACAAAUUGGUUAAUUAAUGGAGAAGGAAGCAUAUGAAUUUGGGGGUUUAGUCGUUAUCCAAAUGCGAUGCUAUCUCUCAUUUGCUUCCAUUAAUCACUCACAUUUGAAUGAAAUCACCUGUUUUCUUUAGUCAUUUCUUAGAAAAACAUCGUCUAGUUUCGAUUGUUCUCUCGUAUGACUCGACCCUCU